This 216-nucleotide ribosomal RNA is filed under the name Triticum aestivum (bread wheat). Its description in RNAcentral is "partial small subunit ribosomal RNA". The record is from RNAcentral. Lineage: Eukaryota; Viridiplantae; Streptophyta; Magnoliopsida; Poales; Poaceae.
AUGGCCAAAGAUAAGUUGGCCAUCGUGACCAGGGUCUCCGGCGAGAUCGGCGACCUUGGCGUCAAGCUCAUGUACCUCAAGAACUUCCUUGCAGAUGCUAAUAGGAGGGGCAUCGCUGACGAGAGCAUGCGGAGGUGGGUGGAGGAACUGAAGCGUGCCAUGUACGACGACGUAACUGACAUCCUCGACCGGUGUCGGCGCAAGGUCACGGAGUAG